GAUGAACGCUGGCGGCGUGCCUAAUACAUGCAAGUCGAGCGAACAGACGAGGAGCUUGCUCCUCUGACGUUAGCGGCGGACGGGUGAGUAACACGUGGAUAACCUACCUAUAAUACUGGGAUAACUUCGGGAAACCGGAGCUAAUACCGGAUAAUAUAUUGAACCGCAUGGUUCAAUAGUGAAAGACGGUUUUGCUGUCACUUAUAGAUGGAUCCGCGCCGCAUUAGCUAGUUGGUAAGGUAACGGCUUACCAAGGCAACGAUGCGUAGCCGACCUGAGAGGGGGAUCGGCCACACUGGAACUGAGACACGGUCCAGACUCCUACGGGAGGCAGCAGUAGGGAAUCUUCCGCAAUGGGCGAAAGCCUGACGGAGCAACGCCGCGUGAGUGAUGAAGGUCUUCGGAUCGUAAAACUCUGUUAUUAGGGAAGAACAAAUGUGUAAGUAACUAUGCACGUCUUGACGGUACCUAAUCAGAAAGCCACGGCUAACUACGUG
RNAcentral lists this ribosomal RNA (497 nucleotides) under uncultured bacterium. Its description in RNAcentral is "partial 16S ribosomal RNA". It matches the Rfam family "Bacterial small subunit ribosomal RNA", at positions 28 to 507 of the family's 1533-position model. The record is from RNAcentral.